AUCACGUUGGGUAUGUAGAGAAGCCAACCAAUCACGUUGGGUAUGUAUCUGAUGUGUUGUAUCGGCUAAGGCCAUAUUCGUUUGAUCCCAAAACCAUAGCGAUUGGAGAGGAUUUUGACUUGUAGGGGAUUUAAUCCCCCGCAAUCCCAAUGGAUUGACACAAAACUAACAGGGUCUAAGUGUGAAAUUUGCCAAGAGUGUACUGUUGGCUGAGGAACGUCUCUGGCUCGAUGUUCGACAAGAAGAAACAUCUUCGUCUCUGCGUUGGAGAGAUUGCAGCCGUCUCCUCCAGAUCCGUUGUUCCCCGUCUUGGAUCCGUGCUUAAGUCAUCUGCUCCAGGCCGCACGCUGUCCAUCGCAGAGGGAGAUUCUGCUGCUGGGUGCACACCGUCCAUUCGACCAGGGAUCUUCACCCACCGGUGAACACCGCUCAUUCUUCAACAUCUCCGGCGACCAUGGGGUCGGCGGCGCUGGUGUGCGCAGCCCCUUCGUGGCCCCAGGGCGUUGGUUUCAUAUGUGUAUGGUUAAUUUAUGUGACCUGUUCUGCAGCAAGCUGGGGUUUAGUAAAGUGCAUGUUUCAGUUUCAAGUUUCAGUUAUAGCAAUCUUCAGUUAUAGCAGUAUCUGAAAUUUUAUCUAUUCUGUAUCUAAAAUUUUAUCCAGUUCUAUAUCUAAAUGCAAGUUUCAGUUAUAGCAAUUUGAAAUGACGACCAGUGCGUUUCUAUA
Molecule: long non-coding RNA, 723 nt
Organism: Zea mays
Lineage: Eukaryota; Viridiplantae; Streptophyta; Magnoliopsida; Poales; Poaceae
Exons: 2
Source: RefSeq, a predicted model, not a curated record